AACUAACAAGGAUUCCCCUAGUAACGGCGAGUGAAGAGGGAAGAGCCCAAGAUUGAAAGCUGGCGUCUUCGGCGUCCGCAUUGUAAUCUCAAGAAGUGUUUUCCGCUUCGGACCAAGCCUAAGUCCCCUGGAAAGGGGCAUCAUAGAGGGUGAUAAUCCCGUACAUGGCUUGGAGCGCCCGAGGCUUUGUGAUACGCUUUCUAAGAGUCGAGUUGUUUGGGAAUGCAGCUCAAAAUGGGUGGUAAAUGCCAUCUAAGGCUAAAUAUUGGGGAGAGACCGAUAGCGAACAAGUACAGUGAUGGAAAGAUGAAAAGAACUUUGAAAAGAGAGUUAAACAGUACGUGAAAUUGCCAAAAGGGAAGGGUAGGAGGUCAGAGAUGCGGCCUGGGAUUCAGCCUUGCUUUUGCUUGGUGUUUUUCCCAGAUUGCAGGCCAACGUCGGUUUUGGGCACUGGAGAAGGGUAGGAGGAACGUGGCACCCCUCGGGGUGUGUUAUAGCCUCCUACUGGAUACAGCGACCGAGACCGAGGACAGCAGCGUACUCGCAAGAGCGGG
Molecule: ribosomal RNA, 554 nt
Filed under: Moesziomyces antarcticus
Lineage: Eukaryota; Fungi; Basidiomycota; Ustilaginomycetes; Ustilaginales; Ustilaginaceae
Description: LSU rRNA
Rfam family: Eukaryotic large subunit ribosomal RNA
Source: RNAcentral